RNAcentral lists this ribosomal RNA (91 nucleotides) under Neobacillus bataviensis. RNAcentral describes it as "Bacillus bataviensis partial 23S ribosomal RNA". It matches the Rfam family "Bacterial large subunit ribosomal RNA", at positions 2834 to 2925 of the family's 2925-position model. Lineage: Bacteria; Bacillati; Bacillota; Bacilli; Caryophanales; Bacillaceae. The record is from RNAcentral.
UCCCUGAAAGAUGAUCAGGUUGAUAGGUCAGAGGUGGAAGCAUGGUGACAUGUGGAGCUGACUGAUACUAAUCGAUCGAGGACUUAACCAA